Molecule: long non-coding RNA, 344 nt
Filed under: Nicotiana benthamiana
Lineage: Eukaryota; Viridiplantae; Streptophyta; Magnoliopsida; Solanales; Solanaceae
Description: long non-coding RNA (NBEN_LNC031444)
Source: RNAcentral
UAUCAGAAAUUUCUGCUGUACUAGCCAAUCUUCAUUUUAAUGUCGCUGCUGCUGAAGUUUGGACCCAUAAUAGGCGCACAGCAUGUGUCCUUUAUGUCAAUGAUAAUUGUUCAUCACUUGACGUGGAUGAAGAAUCCAGAUUAUGUGUCAUGGAAGAGCAACUCAAUAACAUUCUUCGUGGACGGGAGGAUGAUGAGAGUGGGGCUCAUGCUACUUUCACAGUUGCUUCAUCACUUGAUGUGGAUGAAGAAUCCAGAUUAUGUGUCAUGGAAGAGCAACUCAAUAACAUUCUUCGUGGACGGGAGGAUGAUGAGAGUGGGGCUCAUGCUACUUUCACAGUUGGC